GUGGGGAAUCUUGCGCAAUGGGCGAAAGCCUGACGCAGCCAUGCCGCGUGAAUGAUGAAGGUCUUAGGAUUGUAAAAUUCUUUCACCGGGGACGAUAAUGACGGUACCCGGAGAAGAAGCUCCGGCUAACUUCGUGCCAGCAGCCGCGGUAAUACGAAGGGGGCUAGCGUUGCUCGGAAUUACUGGGCGUAAAGGGCGCGUAGGCGGACAGCUUAGUCAGAGGUGAAAGCCCAGGGCUCAAGCUUGGAAUUGCCUUUGAUACUGGCUGUCUUGAGUUUGGGAGAGGUGAGUGGAACUCCGAGUGUAGAGGUGAAAUUCGUAGAUAUUCGGAAGAACACCAGUGGCGAAGGCGACUCACUGGCCCAAUACUGACGCUGAGGCGCGAAAGCGUGGGGAGCAAACAGGAUUAGAUACCCUAGUAGUCC
This 425-nucleotide ribosomal RNA is filed under the name uncultured bacterium. RNAcentral's name for it is "partial 16S ribosomal RNA". It matches the Rfam family "Bacterial small subunit ribosomal RNA", at positions 354 to 796 of the family's 1533-position model. The record is from RNAcentral.